CCUACGGGUGGCAGCAGUAGGGAAUAUUGCUCAAUGGGGGAAACCCUGAAGCAGCAACGCCGCGUGGAGGAUGAAGGUACAGAGUAUCGUAAACCUCUUUUGUCAGGGAACAAAGGCGGGGACGUGUCCCCGGAUGAGUGUACCUGAAGAAAAAGCAUCGGCUAACUCCGUGCCAGCAGCCGCGGUAAUACGGGGGAUGCGAGCGUUAUCCGGAUUUAUUGGGGUAAAAGGGUGCGCAGGCGGUCUGUUAAGUCAGCGGUCAAAGCCCGGGGCUCAACCCCGGCCCGCCGUUGAAACUGGCAGUCUCGAGUUGGAGAGAGGUAUGCGGAAUGCGCGGUGUAGCGGUGAAAGGCAUAGAUAUCGCGCAGAACUCCGAUUGCGAAGGCAGCAUGCCGGCUCCACACUGACGCUGAGGCACGAAAGCGUGGGUAUCGAACAGGAGUAGAUACCCUUGUAGUC
Molecule: ribosomal RNA, 459 nt
Filed under: uncultured bacterium
Lineage: Bacteria
Description: partial 16S ribosomal RNA
Rfam family: Bacterial small subunit ribosomal RNA
Source: RNAcentral